This 446-nucleotide ribosomal RNA is filed under the name uncultured bacterium. RNAcentral describes it as "bacterial SSU rRNA". It matches the Rfam family "Bacterial small subunit ribosomal RNA", at positions 329 to 792 of the family's 1533-position model. The record is from RNAcentral.
UGCCAGACUCCUACGGGAGGCAGCAGUGGGGAAUAUUGCACAAUGGGGGGAACCCUGAUGCAGCGACGCCGCGUGGGUGAAGGAGCACCUCGGUGCGUAAAGCCCUAUCGGCAGGGAAGAAACAGACGGUACCUGACUAAGAAGCCCCGGCUAACUACGUGCCAGCAGCCGCGGUAAUACGUAGGGGGCAAGCGUUAUCCGGAUUUACUGGGUGUAAAGGGAGCGUAGACGGCAGCGCAAGUCUGGAGUGAAAUGCCGGGGCCCAACCCCGGAACUGCUUUGGAAACUGUGCAGCUCGAGUGCAGGAGAGGUAAGCGGAAUUCCUAGUGUAGCGGUGAAAUGCGUAGAUAUUAGGAGGAACACCAGUGGCGAAGGCGGCUUACUGGACUGUAACUGACGUUGAGGCUCGAAAGCGUGGGGAGCAAACAGGAUUAGAUACCCUAGUA